Molecule: ribosomal RNA, 59 nt
Filed under: Silene vulgaris (bladder campion)
Lineage: Eukaryota; Viridiplantae; Streptophyta; Magnoliopsida; Caryophyllales; Caryophyllaceae
Description: partial 28S ribosomal RNA
Source: RNAcentral
GCGACCCCAGGUCAGGCGGGGCUACCCGCUGAAUUUAAGCAUAUCAAUAGGCGGAGGAA